Molecule: small nucleolar RNA, 122 nt
Filed under: Chinchilla lanigera (long-tailed chinchilla)
Lineage: Eukaryota; Metazoa; Chordata; Mammalia; Rodentia; Chinchillidae
Description: Small nucleolar RNA SNORA40 (ENSCLAG00000018673.1)
Rfam family: Small nucleolar RNA SNORA40
About the family: The snoRNA ACA 40 belongs to the H/ACA family of snoRNAs and guides the pseudouridylation of 28S rRNA subunit at position U4565.
Source: Rfam by way of RNAcentral
AGCACUUGUGUCUGUUUUUGUCUAACUUGUGGACUAAGACUUAUGCAGGUCCAAAAAGUAAAGCCUCUUUUGCAACCCAGAACUUACUAUCCAGUAUGAGUUUUGAUACCAGGAGGAAUACU